RNAcentral lists this long non-coding RNA (1204 nucleotides) under Equus asinus (donkey). RNAcentral describes it as "lncRNA (ENSEASG00005038722.1)". Lineage: Eukaryota; Metazoa; Chordata; Mammalia; Perissodactyla; Equidae. The record is from RNAcentral.
AAGCCCAGGCCAAGAUGUACGUGCCAUCCCUCAUUCUUCACGUCCUCAUCCUCCAUGUUUGAUGCAUCAACACGUCCUCUCAGCUGACUUUCCAAUGGAUUCUUCGAACUGAUCAUUUUCUCUUGGUUUCCAUUACUAGAAUCCAGCUAGUUCAGCAAGUCACUACAAGAUCUGGGGCCUGGCUGCCUCCCAACUUGGUCUCAUCUCCUUCUUCCCCUCCCUCAGGAUGCUCCAGAGAAGAACUGAAGUUACAAUGCUCCGGUCCUGAAGAUGCCAGAAACUGGAUUAAUCAAGUCAAAGGACCGAGCUGGUAUUUGCCCUGGUCUUCCCGUCUCGCUUCCUCCUUCUAACAGAUAUGUAGGGGGUGUCCACUGGCUAUGAGGCCCCAUGCAAGGCACUGACAAUAUUGGGGAAGAAGUCUUGAAAACUCAGAUGCCAUCACCAGCUCUUCUUCCCAACCUCCCAUUUGCUGUUGAACUGCCGCACUCUGACAUCAUCCUGACCAGUCACUGACAGGACCCCCUGAAAACCAAAUCCAGACAGUGCUUGUAAAAGAUUUUAAAACAAUCCUCUUCAACCGAACAAACAUGGAAGUUGACUUGAAGAAGAAUAUUAGAUCCAACCUGACGUUUUUUGUAAGCAGCUCAUUAAAACACCUCACGUCCACAACUGUGUUCGAUGCUCUGAUCUCCUGACUCCCUCUGCUUUCACUCAGAACAGACAGGUGUGCGAGCACCUUGCCACCAGCGUCCUUGUUUCACAUCUCCCUAGAAGCUCUUUAGCAUUUGAGUUAUAAUUAUUUGUAUGCACAUUUCAGCUUCUUGUCCAGACUGUAAGCUCCUUGAUGACAGAGUCUGCUUCUUCCUUCUUGCAUCCGCCACAGAGUCCAGCAUAGUUCCUUACACAAACAGGUGCUCGGCAUUUACGACAUGCGUAAAUGAUCUGCUACCAAUCCAGGAAACAAACUGCGGAAAUUUACAUCCCCUCUCACUGACAAACUUUGACUUGGAGAAGGUUUCUCUGAAAUCCUUGGGAAAAGUUAAUCAGAAUCUCAGUCUACCAUGUUGCUUCCUUUAUAUAAUCCGGUGCGACUGUUCUUCCGGGUCGAUGAAAGCGCUGGGACAUUUGCCAGAAUGUAUUACUUUAAAAUUUAAAGUUUCAGCACUUUAGAAAUUGUUUUCCCUUUUAAAUACUUUCCCAAUAA